Molecule: ribosomal RNA, 322 nt
Filed under: uncultured bacterium
Lineage: Bacteria
Description: bacterial SSU rRNA
Rfam family: Bacterial small subunit ribosomal RNA
Source: RNAcentral
AUUGAACGCUGGCGGCAUGCCUUACACAUGCAAGUCGAACGGCAGCACGGGAGCAAUCCUGGUGGCGAGUGGCGAACGGGUGAGUAAUAUAUCGGAACGUGCCCAGUCGUGGGGAUAACGUAGCGAAAGCUACGCUAAUACCGCAUACGAUCUAUGGAUGAAAGCGGGGGAUCGCAAGACCUCGCGCGAUUGGAGCGGCGAUAUCAGAUUAGGUAGUUGGUGAGGUAAAGGCUCACCAAGCCGACGAUCUGUAGCUGGUCUGAGAGGACGACCAGCCACACUGGGACUGAGACACGGCCAGACUCCUACGGGAGGCAGCAGU